GUUUGAUCACAAAUUAUUUUAAUGAACUGUCUAAAUGUUGUUUACCAACCAUAAAAAUAGUUUUUUUUUUUUUCAUGUUGCCGUCACACAUGUGAUUUCGUGCCAUGACAACAUCAGUGCAGAAAAGCGUUCGGCUUUUGGCUGUGUACAGAAGUGUCUUUGCGAGGCAGUGUGCAGGAGUCUGUCUAGGGAUCGAAUAACAGAUUCAGGAAACUCUCCCAACGAGGUUAAAAGAACCAGCUCAAGACACUGUGUGAUUUCUUGGGCAGCCGCACAGCACUGAGCGUGAAGAAGUCCUUUUACACACAGUCUGCGAGAUGUGUGGUCUGAAGGGCUCUAUCCCAUUCCUCUCUCUUUGUCUUGUGUGUGUAAGCUCACAUACAGACAUUACAGCAACAACUGUUCCAUACAGCAUUGGAGGACAUGAGAGUGGAAAUACUUAUGGAGGAAGCCCGGAUGUCAGUUCCCCCUCUUGCCCUCUACAGAAUGGACCUCCAAGCAGCGUGACAUUACUCCAUCAAUCUGUGUUUAAAGAGCAGUGUGUGUCCGCAUUGCAGCUUGUUAACAGGCAUCUCUUUCUUUCUCUUCAUGUUCAUGUUCAGGAGCACACAAAAAACCCACAUAUGCUUGCAUGCUCAUCUAUAUGUGUUUCUAUCACCCUUGUACGUGUAAUCACACACACACACACACACACACACACACAUUGCUGUCUUAUCUUUUACCAGAAGCCUCUUGAACACAAG
Long non-coding RNA from Cyprinus carpio carpio, 743 nucleotides. Lineage: Eukaryota; Metazoa; Chordata; Actinopteri; Cypriniformes; Cyprinidae. The record is from Ensembl.